GGAAAGUGGGACGAAGCCAUGUACUAUGUACUUGGAGAUCCUAGUACAAAGCCAAAGGGUUAUGAUCCAAUGUCAGAGGCAGUGCUUCUUUGGGAGCGAGAUAAGUCGUUAACGCAGACACGGUACAACUUGACACCAUUUGCUAUAUCGCUUAACGAGUUGACGUCUACUUUGUUGGAACAAUUGCCUCCAACCGACUCUCGUCUUCGACCGGAUCAGCGACAUUUAGAGAACGGUGAAUACGAGCUGGCAAAUGCAGAGAAGCUCAGACUUGAACAGUUACAGAGACAGGCGCGAAAAAUGCAAGAGAAGGGAUGGCAGCCGCGGUGGUUCAGGAAGGAUAAGGAGGACGAUUGUUACCGAUACAUGGGCGGAUACUGGGAAGCAAGAGAGAAAGGGAAGUGGGAUGAAAUUCCAGAUAUAUUUGGUAAUAGUGAUUCUUCAGUGUGUGUAGAGUACAUUUAGUAGUGUUUCUCUCUUUAGACCCCUCCCCUAUUGUUCUGGAUCAUUGGUAAUGGCAAUUGUGUAAGGG
This 532-nucleotide unclassified non-coding RNA is filed under the name Hevea brasiliensis (rubber tree). Lineage: Eukaryota; Viridiplantae; Streptophyta; Magnoliopsida; Malpighiales; Euphorbiaceae. The record is from RNAcentral.